RNAcentral lists this long non-coding RNA (245 nucleotides) under Vigna radiata. RNAcentral describes it as "long non-coding RNA (VRAD_LNC013000)". Lineage: Eukaryota; Viridiplantae; Streptophyta; Magnoliopsida; Fabales; Fabaceae. The record is from RNAcentral.
AGAAAAAUUUACCGUAGACCGCUGAGCAGUUGCGGCGCUAUGAGUCUCGACUUUUCUUAAAAGCUGAGCGAUUUUUGAAGUUCUUCACUUUGAAACUCUUCUUUGCAUUUCGCCUGAGUGGUCUCCCUAAGCCCUAACACUCUCCUUUCACCUUCAAGAGUUUUUAGAGAGAUCUCCUCACUUUCUCAUCACCCACUCACCAAAAAUUCAAUUUUUUUGAACAAUUUUUCUGCAAGAAUUCAAAG